RNAcentral lists this ribosomal RNA (253 nucleotides) under uncultured bacterium. RNAcentral describes it as "partial 16S ribosomal RNA". It matches the Rfam family "Bacterial small subunit ribosomal RNA", at positions 524 to 776 of the family's 1533-position model. The record is from RNAcentral.
UACGUAGGGGGCAAGCGUUGUCCGGAUUUAUUGGGCGUAAAGAGCGUGUAGGCGGUUCGGUAGGUCCGUUGUGAAAACUCGAGGCUCAACCUCGAGACGCCGAUGGAAACCCCCGAACUAGAGUCCGGAAGAGGAGAAUGGAAUUCCUGGUGUAGCGGUGAAAUGCGCAGAUAUCAGGAGGAACACCCGUGGCUAAGGCGGCUCUCUAGUACGGUACUGACGCUGAGACGCGAAAGCGUGGGGAGCGAACAGG